This 1093-nucleotide long non-coding RNA is filed under the name Sorghum bicolor (sorghum). Its description in RNAcentral is "long non-coding RNA (SBIC_LNC017083)". Lineage: Eukaryota; Viridiplantae; Streptophyta; Magnoliopsida; Poales; Poaceae. The record is from RNAcentral.
CAUACAUACAAAAAAUAUUACAUAUAUACAAAAAAUAAAACAUACAUACAUACUAUAUAUAUAUACUAGAAUAAUAUAUUAAAAAAAUAAUACAUACAUACAUACAAACAAUUAUAAUUCAUACAUACAAACUAUAUAUGUGUGUGUAUAUGUACAAAAAAUAAUAUACAUACAUACAAAAAAUAAUACAUAUAUAAAAAAAUAGAACAUACAUACAUACUAUAUAUAUACUAGAAUAAUAUAUUAAAAAAAUAAUACAUACAUACAUACAUACAUACAAACAAUUAUAAUUCAUACAUACAAACUAUAUAUAUGUGUGUGUACAUGUACAAAAAAUAAUAUACAUACAUACAAAAAAUAUUACAUAUAUACAAAAAAUAAAACAUACAUACAUACUAUAUAUAUAUACUAGAAUAAUAUAUUAAAAAAAUAAUACAUACAUACAUACAAACAAUUAUAAUUCAUACAUACAAACUAUAUAUGUGUGUGUAUAUGUACAAAAAAUAAUAUACAUACAUACAAAAAAUAAUACAUAUAUAAAAAAAAUAAAACAUACAUACAUACUAUAUAUAUACUAGAAUAAUAUAUUAAAAAAAUAAUACAUACAUACAUACAAACAAUUAUAAUUCAUACAUACAAACUAUAUAUAUGUGUGUGUAUAUGUACAAAAAAUAAUAUACAUACAUACAAAAAAUAUUACAUAUAUACAAAAAAUAAAACAUACAUACAUACUAUAUAUAUAUACUAGAAAUAUAUACAAAAAAUUACAUAUAUAUACAAAAAAAUAUAUACAUACUAUAUAUAAUAUACAUACUAUAUAUAAUACUACAAAUCAAAACAUCAUAUAUAUAAUAUACAUAUACACAAAAAAAAUUACAUAUAUAUACAUAAAAAUAUAUAUAAAAAAUAAUACUACAAAUCAAAACACCAUAUAUACAUAUAUAUAUAUAUGUAUAUAUAUGGUGUUUUGAUUUGUAAUAUUAUUUUUUGUAUAUAUUUUUAUGUAUAUAUAUGUAAUAUUUUUGUGUGUAUAUAUAUAUAUAUAUAUUUCUCUGGUCUAGUGUAUAUAAAUACGUAAUUAAUCAAUGGCGUC